This 587-nucleotide ribosomal RNA is filed under the name uncultured bacterium. Its description in RNAcentral is "partial 16S ribosomal RNA". It matches the Rfam family "Bacterial small subunit ribosomal RNA", at positions 355 to 1376 of the family's 1533-position model. The record is from RNAcentral.
UGGGGAAUAUUGGACAAUGGGCGCAAGCCUGAUCCAGCAAUGCCGCGUGUGUGAAGAAGGCCUUCGGGUUGUAAAGCACUUUUAUCAGGAGCGAAACGCUGUCGGCUAAUACCCGGCGGAACUGACGGUACCUGAGGAAUAAGCACCGGCUAACUUCGUGCCAGCAGCCGCGGUAAUACGAAGGGUGCAAGCGUUAAUCGGAAUUACUGGGCGUAAAGCGUGCGUAGGCGGUUUCUUAAGUCUGCUGUGAAAUCCCCGGGCUCAACCUGGGAAUGGCAGUGGAUACUGGGAGGCUAGAGUGUGUCAGAGGGUGGUGGAAUUCCCGGUGUAGCGGUGAAAUGCGUAGAGAUCGGGAGGAACAUCAGUGGCGAAGGCGGCCACCUGGGACAACACUGACGCUGAGGCACGAAAGCGUGGGGAGCAAACAGGAUUAGAUACCCUGGUAGUCCACGCCCUAAAGCGAUGCGAACUGGAUGUUGGUCUCAACUCGGAGAUCAGUGUCGAAGCUAACGCGUUAAGUUCGCGCCUGGGAGUACGGUCGCAAGACUGAAACUCAAAGGAAUUGACGGGGUCAUAGCUGUUUCCUG